Molecule: ribosomal RNA, 301 nt
Filed under: uncultured bacterium
Lineage: Bacteria
Description: partial 16S ribosomal RNA
Rfam family: Bacterial small subunit ribosomal RNA
Source: RNAcentral
CAGCCGCCACGGUAACACGGAGGGUGCAAGCGUUAAUCGGAAUUACUGGGCGUAAAGCGCACGCAGGCGGUCUGUCAAGUCAGAUGUGAAAUCCCCGGGCUUAACCUGGGAACUGCAUUUGAAACUGGCAGGCUAGAGUCUUGUAGAGGGGGGUAGAAUUCCAGGUGUAGCGGUGAAAUGCGUAGAGAUCUGGAGGAAUACCGGUGGCGAAGGCGGCCCCCUGGACAAAGACUGACGCUCAGGUGCGAAAGCGUGGGGAGCAAACAGGAUUAGAUACCCCAGUAGUCCCUGUCUCUUAUAC